GUGCUUACUUCAGCAGCAUAUACACUAAAAUUGAAAUGAUAUGGAGAUUAGCAUAGCCUCUGCACAAAUUCGUGAAGCAUUGCAGACUUUU
Molecule: small nuclear RNA, 91 nt
Organism: Cercocebus atys (sooty mangabey)
Lineage: Eukaryota; Metazoa; Chordata; Mammalia; Primates; Cercopithecidae
Source: Ensembl